This 846-nucleotide ribosomal RNA is filed under the name uncultured Antarctic soil bacterium. Its description in RNAcentral is "bacterial SSU rRNA". It matches the Rfam family "Bacterial small subunit ribosomal RNA", at positions 21 to 849 of the family's 1533-position model. The record is from RNAcentral.
UUCUUUGGACCACUCUCGUUUACUUGCACACGCAAGCAGAGGGGAAAAUUUUGGUCGUUUGUACCAAAAGGAGACCGGCGAAUGGGUGAGUAACAGCGUAGGCAAUCUGCCUGGGAGACGGGGAUAACCCACCGAAAGGUGAGCUAAUACCGGAUGAUGCAGCGGGGUCGCAUGACCCUGUUGUUAAAGGUUUCGGCCACUCCCAGAGUUUUUUGCGUGCCAUUAGCUAGUUGGUGCGGUAACGGCGCACCAAGGCGAUGAUGGCUAGGGGGUCUGAGAGGAUGAUCCCCCACACUGGGACUGAGACACGGCCCAGACUCCUACGGGAGGCAGCAGUGAGGAAUCUUGCGCAAUGGGGGCAACCCUGACGCAGCCACGCCGCGUGCCGGAAGACGGCCCUAUGGGUUGUAAACGGCUUUUAGGUGGGAAGAAUCUCCCGAAUUCGUUCGGGACUGACGGUACCGCCAGAAUAAGCACCGGCUAACUCCGUGCCAGCAGCCGCGGUAAUACGGAGGGUGCAAGCGUUGUCCGGAAUUAUUGGGUGUAAAGGGUGCGCAGGCGGAAGCCUACGUCGAGGGUGAAAGACGGCCGUUAACGGUCGCAGUGCCUUCAUACGGGGUUCUUGAGUCCGGAAGAGGUGGUGGAAUUCCUGGUGUAGCGGUGAAAUCAUAAGAUCACCAAGAACACCGGUGCCAAAGCGGCAACUGGUCCGGCCUACCUGAGCCCAGACCUGGGAGCGACAGAUUAAAACCUGUAGCACGCUGACCAUUAUCUAUUGCGGCCGAGGGCCGUACCAUACCCUACUACCCUUGGACUUCAAAUAAUAAGAUCCGGCCCCACUGGAUU